Molecule: long non-coding RNA, 255 nt
Organism: Sinocyclocheilus grahami
Lineage: Eukaryota; Metazoa; Chordata; Actinopteri; Cypriniformes; Cyprinidae
Exons: 2
Source: RefSeq, a predicted model, not a curated record
CUCAUCGAACGACACAUCACUAAUUCCAGCAGCUCGACUCGACGGACGCCAUUUUGAGCCACACAAACAACACCCAAGAAGACGGAGGAAAUAAAUUCGUCUAUUAUCGAGUACUACUAUUAUUUAGAGGACUUUCUCAAGCCAGAUGAGACAGAGAAGAUUGCGCUCUUCCUGGCUGAGAGAGGUGAGUCUGGAGGAGAGAAUGGAGAACAGAAAGAGACACAGACGAGACUCGCACAGCAGCGAGAGAGAAAA